RNAcentral lists this ribosomal RNA (492 nucleotides) under uncultured bacterium. Its description in RNAcentral is "partial 16S ribosomal RNA". It matches the Rfam family "Bacterial small subunit ribosomal RNA", at positions 29 to 507 of the family's 1533-position model. The record is from RNAcentral.
AGUGAACGCUGGCGGUAGGCCUAACACAUGCCAGUCGAACGGCAGCACAGUAAGAGCUUGCUCUUACGGGUGGCGAGUGGCGGACGGGUGAGGAAUACAUCGGAAUCUACUUUUUCGUGGGGGAUAACGUAGGGAAACUUACGCUAAUACCGCAUACGACCUACGGGUGAAAGCAGGGGAUCUUCGGACCUUGCGCGAUUGAAUGAGCCGAUGUCGGAUUAGCUAGUUGGCGGGGUAAAGGCCCACCAAGGCGACGAUCCGUAGCUGGUCUGAGAGGAUGAUCAGCCACACUAGAACUGAGACACGGUCCAGACUCCUCCGGGAGGCAGCAGUGGGGAAUAUUGGACAAUGGGCGCAAGCCUGAUCCAGCCAUACCGCGUGGGUGAAGAAGGCCUUCGGGUUGUAAAGCCCUUUUGUUGGGAAAGAAAAGCAGCAGGUUAAUACCCCGCUGUUCUGACGGUACCCAAAGAAUAAGCACCGGCUAACUUCGUG